GCUCGAGUGGCGAACGGGUGAGUAACACGUGAGUAACCUGCCCUUGACUUUGGGAUAACUUCAGGAAACUGGGGCUAAUACCGGAUAGGAGCUCCUGCUGCAUGGUGGGGGUUGGAAAGGUUCGGCGGUUGGGGAUGGACUCGCGGCUUAUCAGCUUGUUGGUGGGGUAGUGGCUUACCAAGGCUUUGACGGGUAGCCGGCCUGAGAGGGUGACCGGCCACAUUGGGACUGAGAUACGGCCCAG
This 244-nucleotide ribosomal RNA is filed under the name uncultured Actinomycetales bacterium. RNAcentral describes it as "partial 16S ribosomal RNA". It matches the Rfam family "Bacterial small subunit ribosomal RNA", at positions 89 to 334 of the family's 1533-position model. The record is from RNAcentral. Lineage: Bacteria; Bacillati; Actinomycetota; Actinomycetes; Actinomycetales.